This 68-nucleotide transfer RNA is filed under the name Lepisosteus oculatus (spotted gar). It matches the Rfam family "tRNA". Rfam says of the family: Transfer RNA (tRNA) molecules are approximately 80 nucleotides in length. Lineage: Eukaryota; Metazoa; Chordata; Actinopteri; Semionotiformes; Lepisosteidae. The record is from Rfam by way of RNAcentral.
GCCUAGCUCUGUUGGUAGAGCAUGAGACUCAUACUCUCAGAGCGUGGGUUUGUGUCCCCUGUUGGGCG